RNAcentral lists this ribosomal RNA (2069 nucleotides) under Escherichia coli. RNAcentral describes it as "partial 23S ribosomal RNA". It matches the Rfam family "Bacterial large subunit ribosomal RNA", at positions 840 to 2925 of the family's 2925-position model. Lineage: Bacteria; Pseudomonadati; Pseudomonadota; Gammaproteobacteria; Enterobacterales; Enterobacteriaceae. The record is from RNAcentral.
CGGAGAUAGCUGGUUCUCCCCGAAAUAGCUUUAGGGCUAGCGUCGGAUAUGUGUAGUGGAGGUAGAGCACUGAAUGGGCUAGGGGGCAUAUCGCUUACCGAACCUUAUCAAACUCCGAAUGCCAUAUACAUUUAGUCCGGCAGUCAGACUACGAAUGAUAAGAUCCGUGGUCAAAAGGGAAACAGCCCAGAUCGUCAGCUAAGGUCCCAAAGUGUAAGUUAAGUGGAAAAGGAUGUGGGAUUUCUAAGACAACUAGGAUGUUGGCUUAGAAGCAGCCACUCAUUUAAAGAGUGCGUAAUAGCUCACUAGUCGAGAGAUCCUGCGCCGAAAAUGUCCGGGGCUCAAACUUACCACCGAAGCUACGGGCUUGCGUAAGCAAGCGGUAGGGGAGCGUCGUAAUCGGGCUGAAGUCGUACCGUAAGGAGCGGUGGACUGAUUACGAGUGAGAAUGUUGGCAUUAGUAGCGAGAUGUAGGUGAGAAUCCUACAGGCCGAAUAUCUAAGGUUUCCUCAGGAAGGCUCGUCCGCUGAGGGUUAGUCGGGACCUAAGCCGAGGCCGAAAGGCGUAGGCGAUGGACAAUCGGUUGAUAUUCCGAUACCACUACCAUCGUUAUUAUCGAGGGUGUGACGGAGAAGGAUAGUGUGUGCUAGCGAUUGGAAAUGCUAGUCUAAGCGUUUAGGGAGUUACGGUAGGCAAAUCCGCUGUAACAAUUCUGAGGCGUGAUGGGGAAGGCCAUAUAGGCCGAAGUACAUGAUUCCAUGCUUCCAAGAAAAGCAUCUAGAGAGAGAAGUAGUGCCCGUACCGCAAACCGACACAGGUAGAUGAGGAGAGAAUCCUAAGGCCGGCGGAAGAAUUGCAGUUAAGGAACUAGGCAAAUUGACCCCGUAAGUUCGCGAGAAGGGGUGCCUGCGAGAGCAGGCCGCAGAGAAUAGGCCCAAGCAACUGUUUAGCAAAAACACAGGUCUCUGCUAAAGCGUAAGCUGAUGUAUAGGGGCUGACGCCUGCCCGGUGCUGGAAGGUUAAGGGGAACACUUAGCGCAAGCGAAGGUGUGAACUUAAGCCCCAGUAAACGGCGGCCGUAACUAUAACGGUCCUAAGGUAGCGAAAUUCCUUGUCAGGUAAGUUCUGACCCGCACGAAUGGCGUAAUGACUUGGGCACUGUCUCAACUGCAAAUCCGGCGAAGUUGUAGUGCGAGUGAAGAUGCUCGCUACCCGCGAUUGGACGGAAAGACCCCGUAGAGCUUUACUGCAGCUUAGCAUUGAAUUCCGGUAUUGUCUGUACAGGAUAGGUGGGAGACUGGGAAACUAGGGCGUCAGCCUUAGUGGAGUCAACCUUGGGAUACCACCCUGACAGUACUGGGGUUCUAACAGGACGCCAUGAAUCUGGUGACUGGACAUUGUUAGGUGGGCAGUUUGACUGGGGCGGUCGCCUCCUAAAAAGUAACGGAGGCGCCCAAAGGUUCCCUCAGAACGGUCGGAAAUCGUUCGUAGAGUGCAAAGGCAGAAGGGAGCCUGACUGCGAGACAUACAAGUCGAGCAGGGACGAAAGUCGGGCUUAGUGAUCCGGUGGUACCUCGUGGGAGGGCCAUCGCUCAACGGAUAAAAGCUACCUCGGGGAUAACAGGCUGAUCUCCCCCAAGAGUCCACAUCGACGGGGAGGUUUGGCACCUCGAUGUCGGCUCGUCGCAUCCUGGGGCUGUAGUAGGUCCCAAGGGUUGGGCUGUUCGCCCAUUAAAGCGGCACGCGAGCUGGGUUCAGAACGUCGUGAGACAGUUCGGUCCCUAUCCGUCGCGGGCGUAGGAAAUUUGAGAGGAGCUGUCCUUAGUACGAGAGGACCGGGAUGGACUGACCUCUGGUGCACCAGUUGUUCCGCCAGGAGCAUGGCUGGGUAGCUAAGUCGGGAAGGGAUAAACGCUGAAAGCAUCUAAGCGUGAAGCCUCCCUCAAGAUGAGAUUUCCCAUAGCAUAAGCUAGUAAGACCCCUUGAAGAACACAAGGUUGAUAGGUCAGAGGUGUAAGUGCGGUAACGUAUUUAGCUGACUGAUACUAAUAGGUCGAGGGCUUGACCAA